This 495-nucleotide ribosomal RNA is filed under the name uncultured bacterium. RNAcentral's name for it is "partial 16S ribosomal RNA". It matches the Rfam family "Bacterial small subunit ribosomal RNA", at positions 28 to 507 of the family's 1533-position model. The record is from RNAcentral.
GACGAACGCUGGCGGCGUGCCUAAUACAUGCAAGUAGAACGCUGAAGGAGGAGCUUGCUUCUCCGGAUGAGUUGCGAACGGGUGAGUAACGCGUAGGUAACCUGCCUGGUAGCGGGGGAUAACUCUUGGAAACGAUAGCUAAUACCGCAUAAGAGUAGAUGUCGCAUGACAUUUGCUUAAAAGGUGCACCUGCACCCCUACCAGAUGGACCUGCCUUGUAUUAGCCAGUUGGUGGGGUAACGGCUCACCAAGGCAACGAUACAUAGCCGACCUGCGAGGGGGAUCGGCCAAACUGGGACUGAGACACGGCCCAGACUCCUACGGGAGGGAGCAGGAGGGAAACUUCGGCAAUGGACGGAAGGCUGACCGAGGAACGACGCGGGAGUGAAGAAGGGUUUCGGAUCGGAAAGCUCGGUUGUAAGAGAAGAACGAGAGGGAGAGUGGAAAGUGCACACUGUGACGGUAUCUUACCAGAAAGGGACGGCUAACUACGUG